UUGAAAUACCAAUUCCCAUAUGAUCCCUGAAGUUAAGCAAUGUUAAGCCUGGUUAGUACCUACAUGGGUGACCACUUGGGAAAACCAGGCGCCA
Molecule: non-coding RNA, 94 nt
Organism: Acanthosepion pharaonis
Lineage: Eukaryota; Metazoa; Mollusca; Cephalopoda; Sepiida; Sepiidae
Source: the annotation of a GenBank genome assembly